This 180-nucleotide small RNA is filed under the name Nocardioides kongjuensis. RNAcentral's name for it is "Actinobacteria sRNA Ms_IGR-5". It matches the Rfam family "Actinobacteria sRNA Ms_IGR-5". The record is from Rfam by way of RNAcentral. Lineage: Bacteria; Bacillati; Actinomycetota; Actinomycetes; Propionibacteriales; Nocardioidaceae.
ACACGGGAAAGGAGGUGGUCCGAAGAAUGAGUUCUUCCAGGACGCGUGAGGUGGCUGCCCGCUAGCAGCCCCGCAGUUCCGACGGGCUGCGCGCGAAACCAACGCAGCCACCCGACCCGCAGGUGAAACCGGGAUCGUCCCCCGGCCCGGUCCGAGGACCGCACCUGCGGGUCGCUGCGU